UUCUCUAUUAAUAAAACAGCUGUAGUAAUUUUUUCAUUGCGGUGCAAACAAAUUUUGUGAAAUUUAUUAAAAUUUAAAGAAUAUUUGUUUUUCAUAAAUAAAUAGUUUAAAUAUUAAGAAAAGUUCAUAAAAUAGUUAAUACAAAAUGAGUGAAGAGUGGCAAUCUCAAAAAUUUCGGCAAAAUGUUAUUGCCAAAAUCAAUGACAUGUUGCAAAGCACUGGCCAGGAUGGCAUUAAAAAUGCCAGUGUCAUGGAAAAUCAUAUUUUCAAGAAGUCGAAGAAUAAGGACGAGUAUUUGGGUUUGGUGGCGAAAUUGUUUAUGCAUUUUAAAGAUUUGUCACAGAGAAGACCUCAACAAGCCCCUCAACCCAAUGCCGAAAUGGGUCAACAAAAUAUGAUGCAGGACCCUUUGAAUGCUUUGCAAAAUUUGGCCAGUCAAGGCAAUCGUAAUCCCCAAAUGAUGUCUAUGCCGGGAGGACCUAAUGUUCAACAAGGUGCCGGUCCGGGAGGUCCAGUGCCGGCUUCCAAUCUCUUACAAACUUUAAAUCAACAAAGACCAGGCCAACAACAAAUGCAGCAAAUGCAAGGCAUAAGACCACAAAUGUCUAUGGGUGCUGGUGGCCCGGGACAACAACAGGGUAACAUCGUGGGCGGUGGACCGGGUCAGCAGCAAAUGAUGCCUCAAAUGGGUGGCCCUGGUGGUUUACAAAUGAAUGUAAUGGGUGGUCCUAAUGGUGGACCCAAUCAGCAAAUGGUGGGUAAUGCCCAACAAAUGGGAGGCCCCUCUGGAGGUCCGGGUGUGGGACCCGGUGGCCCGCAAGGCAUGCCUGGGCAAAUAAAUCAAAUGGGUGGCCCUAACUCAGGCGGUCCAAUGGGUCCGGGCUCUACAGGUCCCGGUGGACCUAAUCAAAUGCAAAUGAAUUCUGGUGGUCAAAUACAAGGCGGCCCUGUAGUCACCAUGAAUGUUCAGCAGCUUCCCAAUCAAAUGCAACAGCAACAAAUGCAGCAAAUGGGUAUGCAACAUCCACAGCUUAAUCAAAUGAUGAAUGCUCGCAUGAAUCAGGGUGGCCCGGUGGUAACGAUGAAUGUGGCAGGACCUAAUGCUGGAGGCAAUCAAGGUAUGCAGGGUAUACCACCAAAUAUGCAACAGAAUCAAGUUGGCGGUGUAGGCACAGGGGGACCUAUGCAUCCCAAUAAUGUGGGUAAUGCUGGACAACAAGGUCAACCAGGCGGUAUGCCGAAUACUGCGGGAUCUCAAGGCAAUCUCAACCAAAUGCUAAAUAUUCCACCGGGAAUGCAGAAAAAUCCCAACAUGACUAUGGGACAGGGUCAACAAAUGUUUAAUGUUAAUCGUGGUGUGGUAGGACAGCAACAAUUCCUACGACAAAGCCCUUCACCUUCCACAGUUUCCUCCCCUGCGGGAGGUUUAAAUGUCCAGCAGCAACAGCAAUUGCAACAGCAGGUGGUCAACAAUCAACAGCAGCAACAAUUACAACAAAACAAUCAAGCUGGUGGACCACAGGGACCACAACCCCUACCCAAUCCACAAAUGAUACCAAGUCCAGCUUUGGUGCCCUCCUCAAGUCCACAAAUGCCAGGUUUAAUGCAAAAUCCCAAUCAAAGACAACAAAUGCGUCAAUCACCAAGUGCACCACUUAAUACGCCUGGACAGGUGACCCAAAACAGUCCCUUCAAUGCUCAAGAAGAUCAGUUGUAUCGGGAGAAAUACAAACAAUUGACCAAAUACAAAGAAACCUUAAUGCGUAUGGUGGCCAAAUUUCGCAAUGAUGGCAAUAAUGCAGAGUCUUAUACAAAAAUGAGUAAAUUAUUGGAAAUUCUAAGUAAUCCCAUGAAAAGAGUGCCUUUGGAGACGCUAUUGAAAUGUGAAAAAGUUUUAGAGAAUAUGAAAAUAUCACCAUUUUGUGGACAAACAUUUGGAAAAUCUUCUAAUCCCUUAAUGGAAGUCAUCAAUACCACCCUACAAAGUCCCAUAGCCAAUCAUACUCUCUAUAGAACCUUUCGACCUAGUUUGGAAUUACUAUUUGGUACAGAUAUUUCGGCACCAGCACCACCUAAAAUGCGUCGCAUGUCGGAGAAACCCACUGUUACUUCCGAUAUAGAAAUACCACAUGUUUUGCAGGGAGAAAUAGCUCGCUUAGAUCAAAAGUUUAAAGUUACUUUAGAUCCUACCGCACAAAAUAAUAUUAAAUCUAUUAAAUUAAUAUGCUGUCUAGAUGACAAAAAGUUACCUAGUGUACCACCAGUUAGUGUUAAUAUACCAGAAGACUAUCCCUGGGCUUCUCCUGAGUGUUCUCUAAUUGAACAAGACUAUUCUGCUACUGCUUUUCUUAAGGCUGUACAGAAUGCUUUAAUGUCUCGCAUUGCUAAAUUGCCUAAAUUGUAUUCAUUAUCUCAUCUUUUGGAUACUUGGGAAAUGUCUGUACGUCAGGCCUGUUCACCAAAUGCUGUGAAGCCUGUUUGUGAAUUUACCGCCUUAUUGGGCAUGUAAUUUUCAUCUAACACAUUCAUAUUUCAUUUUGAAAACUUCCAUUUUAUGAAACAUUUUUUAUUGCUUAAGCUGCAAGUUUCUUUAGUUUUAGACUCUAUAUUAAAAUGCUCCUGAUAAAGCAAAUUGUUCUCAACAAAUUUCAACUCAAUUUACUCAAGAUUUUCAAAUAUUUAAACAAGAAUUCUUUUAAAAUUAAGGGACAACG
Molecule: RNA transcript, 2714 nt
Organism: Lucilia sericata (common green bottle fly)
Lineage: Eukaryota; Metazoa; Arthropoda; Insecta; Diptera; Calliphoridae
Gene: MED15
Gene name: mediator of RNA polymerase II transcription subunit 15
Exons: 7
Source: RefSeq, a predicted model, not a curated record